GGGAACUGAAACAUCUAAGUACCCCGAGGAAAAGAAAUCAACCGAGAUUCCCCCAGUAGCGGCGAGCGAACGGGGAGGAGCCCAGAGCCUGAAUCAGCAUGUGUGUUAGUGGAAGCGUCUGGAAAGGCGCGCGAUACAGGGUGACAGCCCCGUACACAAAAGCGCAUGUGCUGUGAGCUCGAUGAGUAGGGCGGGACACGUGGUAUCCUGUCUGAAUAUGGGGGGACCAUCCUCCAAGGCUAAAUACUCCUGACU
This 255-nucleotide ribosomal RNA is filed under the name Salmonella enterica. RNAcentral describes it as "partial 23S ribosomal RNA". It matches the Rfam family "Bacterial large subunit ribosomal RNA", at positions 188 to 481 of the family's 2925-position model. RNAcentral also lists the same sequence under 25 other names. Lineage: Bacteria; Pseudomonadati; Pseudomonadota; Gammaproteobacteria; Enterobacterales; Enterobacteriaceae. The record is from RNAcentral.